GGAUUGAUGGCCGAGUGGUCGACGGCGGUGCCCUGCUAAGGCAUUGCAUGAAGGCGUGUGCCGCGUGCCGGGGGUUCGAAUCCCUCUCAAUCCG
Molecule: transfer RNA, 94 nt
Filed under: Bifidobacterium apri
Lineage: Bacteria; Bacillati; Actinomycetota; Actinomycetes; Bifidobacteriales; Bifidobacteriaceae
Description: tRNA-Ser
Rfam family: tRNA
About the family: Transfer RNA (tRNA) molecules are approximately 80 nucleotides in length. Their secondary structure includes four short double-helical elements and three loops (D, anti-codon, and T loops). Further hydrogen bonds mediate the characteristic L-shaped molecular structure. tRNAs have two regions of fundamental functional importance: the anti-codon, which is responsible for specific mRNA codon recognition, and the 3' end, to which the tRNAs corresponding amino acid is attached (by aminoacyl-tRNA synthetases). tRNAs cope with the degeneracy of the genetic code in two manners: having more than one tRNA (with a specific anti-codon) for a particular amino acid; and 'wobble' base-pairing, i.e. permitting non-standard base-pairing at the 3rd anti-codon position.
Source: RNAcentral